This 420-nucleotide ribosomal RNA is filed under the name uncultured bacterium. Its description in RNAcentral is "bacterial SSU rRNA". It matches the Rfam family "Bacterial small subunit ribosomal RNA", at positions 356 to 773 of the family's 1533-position model. The record is from RNAcentral.
GAGGAAUAUUGGUCAAUGGGCGUAAGCCUGAACCAGCCAUCCCGCGUGCAGGAAGAAGGCGCUAUGCGUCGUAAACUGCUUUUCCGGAGGAAGAAAACCCCUGACGUGUCGGGGCUUGCCGGUACUCUGGGAAUAAGCAUCGGCUAACUCCGUGCCAGCAGCCGCGGUAAUACGGAGGAUGCGAGCGUUAUCCGGAUUUAUUGGGUUUAAAGGGUGCGUAGGCGGAUUAAUAAGUCAGUGGUGAAAACCUUCAGCUUAACUGGAGACUUGCCAUUGAUACUGUUAGUCUUGAGUACGGUCAAGGUAGGCGGAAUGUGUAAUGUAGCGGUGAAAUGCUUAGAUAUUACACUGAACACCGAUUGCGAAGGGAGCUUACUGGGCCGCAACUGACGCUGAUGCACGAAAGCGUGGGGAGCGAAC